GUGCCAGCAGCCGCGGUAAU
Molecule: non-coding RNA, 20 nt
Filed under: Chlamydomonas reinhardtii
Lineage: Eukaryota; Viridiplantae; Chlorophyta; Chlorophyceae; Chlamydomonadales; Chlamydomonadaceae
Also listed under: 1 other name
Source: RNAcentral